This 497-nucleotide ribosomal RNA is filed under the name uncultured bacterium. RNAcentral's name for it is "partial 16S ribosomal RNA". It matches the Rfam family "Bacterial small subunit ribosomal RNA", at positions 28 to 507 of the family's 1533-position model. The record is from RNAcentral.
GAUGAACGCUGGCGGCGUGCCUAAUACAUGCAAGUCGAGCGAACAGACGAGGAGCUUGCUCCUCUGACGUUAGCGGCGGACGGGUGAGUAACACGUGGAUAACCUACCUAUAAGACUGGGAUAACUUCGGGAAACCGGAGCUAAUACCGGAUAAUAUAUUGAACCGCAUGGUUCAAUAGUGAAAGACGGUUUUGCUGUCACUUAUAGAUGGAUCCGCGCCGCAUUAGCUAGUUGGUAAGGUAACGGCUUACCAAGGCAACGAUGCGUAGCCGACCUGAGAGGGUGAUCGGCCACACUGGAACUGAGACACGGUCCAGACGCCUGCGGGAGGCAGCAGUAGGGAAUCUUCCGCAAUGGGCGAAAGCCUGACGGAGCAACGCCGCGUGAGUGAUGAAGGUGUUCGGAUCGUAAAACUCUGUUAUUAGGGAAGAACAAAUGUGUAAGUAACUAUGCACGUCUUGACGGUACCUGAUCAGAAAGCCACGGCUAACUACGUG